Non-coding RNA from Picea glauca (white spruce), 43 nucleotides. The record is from Rfam. NCBI's taxonomy places the organism in Eukaryota, Viridiplantae, Streptophyta, Pinopsida, Pinales, Pinaceae.
GUAACGGUGUCUUUAGACACCACAUUUAUCUUUGAAAUUAUGU